ACCUGGCUGGCUCAGUUGGUAGAGCUUAUGAUUCUUGAUCUCAGGGUCAUGAGUUCAAGCCCCAUGUUGGGUU
RNAcentral lists this transfer RNA (73 nucleotides) under Felis catus (domestic cat). It matches the Rfam family "tRNA". From Rfam's summary of the family: Transfer RNA (tRNA) molecules are approximately 80 nucleotides in length. Their secondary structure includes four short double-helical elements and three loops (D, anti-codon, and T loops). Further hydrogen bonds mediate the characteristic L-shaped molecular structure. tRNAs have two regions of fundamental functional importance: the anti-codon, which is responsible for specific mRNA codon recognition, and the 3' end, to which the tRNAs corresponding amino acid is attached (by aminoacyl-tRNA synthetases). tRNAs cope with the degeneracy of the genetic code in two manners: having more than one tRNA (with a specific anti-codon) for a particular amino acid; and 'wobble' base-pairing, i.e. permitting non-standard base-pairing at the 3rd anti-codon position. The record is from Rfam by way of RNAcentral. Lineage: Eukaryota; Metazoa; Chordata; Mammalia; Carnivora; Felidae.